GACGAACGCUGGCGGCGUGCCUAAUACAUGCAAGUCGAACGCAGUGGGGACGGGUGAGUAACACGUGGGUAACCUCCCAUCAGAGGGGAUAACACUUGGCAACAGGUGCUAAACCCACAUCGAUGGAGGGACUCGCGGUGCAUUAGCUAGUUGGUGAGGUAACGGCUCACCAAGUCAACGAUGCAUAGCCGACCUGAGAGGUUGAUCGGCCACACUGGGACUGAGACACGGCCCAGACUCCUACGGGAGGCAGCAGUAGGGAAUCUUCGGCAAUGGACGAAAGUCUGACCGAGCAACUCCGCGUGAGUGAAGAAGGUUUUCGGGUCGUAAAACUCUGUUGUUAGAGAAGCGGUAUCUAACCAGAAAGCCACGGCUAACUACGUGCCAGCAGCCGCGGUAAUUC
RNAcentral lists this ribosomal RNA (403 nucleotides) under uncultured bacterium. RNAcentral describes it as "partial 16S ribosomal RNA". It matches the Rfam family "Bacterial small subunit ribosomal RNA", at positions 28 to 526 of the family's 1533-position model. The record is from RNAcentral.